ACGGAAGGCAGCAGUGGGGAAUAUUGGGCAAUGGGCGAAAGCCUGACCCAGCAACGCUGCGUGAAGGAUGACGGUCUUCGGAUUGUAAACUUCUUUAAUUGGGGAAGAAUAAAUGACCUACCCAAGGAAUAAGUCACGGCUAACUACGUGCCAGCAGCCGCGGUAAUACGUAGGUGACAAGCGUUAUCCGGAUUUACUGGGCGUAAAGGGCGUGUAGGCGGUUUGGCAAGUCAGAAGUGAAAUUCCUGAGCUCAACUCGGGCGCUGCUUCUGAAACUGCUAGACUUGAGUGCUGGAGGGGAUAGCGGAAUUCCUAGUGGAGCGGUAAAAUGCGCAGAUAUUAGGAAGAACACCGGUGGCGAAGGCGGCUAUCUGGACAGUAACUGACGCUGAGGCGCGAAAGUGUGGGGAGCAAACAGGAUUAGAUACCCUGGUA
This 435-nucleotide ribosomal RNA is filed under the name uncultured Saccharofermentans sp. RNAcentral's name for it is "partial 16S ribosomal RNA". It matches the Rfam family "Bacterial small subunit ribosomal RNA", at positions 341 to 792 of the family's 1533-position model. Lineage: Bacteria; Bacillati; Bacillota; Clostridia; Eubacteriales; Oscillospiraceae. The record is from RNAcentral.